GAUCCUGGCUCAGGAUGAACGCUGGCGGCGUGCCUAAUACAUGCAAGUCGAGCGAGGUUCUUCGGAACCUAGCGGCGGACGGGUGAGUAACACGUGGGUAACCUGCCUGUAAGACUGGGAUAACUUCGGGAAACCGAAGCUAAUACCGGAUACUUUCGAGCAUCGCAUGAUGCUUGAUGGAAAGACGGCUUCGGCUGUCACUUACAGAUGGACCCGCGUCGCAUUAGCUAGUUGGUGAGGUAACGGCUCACCAAGGCGACGAUGCGUAGCCGACCUGAGAGGGUGAUCGGCCACACUGGGACUGAGACACGGCCCAGACUCCUACGGGAGGCAGCAGUAGGGAAUCUUCGGCAAUGGGCGAAAGCCUGACCGAGCAACGCCGCGUGAGCGAUGAAGGCCUUCGGGUCGUAAAGCUCUGUUGUUAAGGAAGAACAAGUACGAGAGUAACUGCUCGUACCUUGACGGUACUUAACGAGAAAGCCACGGCUAACUACGUGCCAGCAGCCGCGGUAAUACGUAGGUGGCAAGCGUUAUCCGGAAUUAUUGGGCGUAAAGCGCGCGCAGGCGGUUUCUUAAGUCUGAUGUGAAAGCCCACGGCUCAACCGUGGAGGGUCAUUGGAAACUGGGAAACUUGAGUGCAGAAGAGGAAAGCGGAAUUCCACGUGUAGCGGUGAAAUGCGUAGAGAUGUGGAGGAACACCAGUGGCGAAGGCGGCUUUCUGGUCUGUAACUACGCUAGGCGCAAAGC
This 747-nucleotide ribosomal RNA is filed under the name uncultured bacterium. RNAcentral's name for it is "bacterial SSU rRNA". It matches the Rfam family "Bacterial small subunit ribosomal RNA", at positions 15 to 760 of the family's 1533-position model. The record is from RNAcentral.